Molecule: non-coding RNA, 72 nt
Organism: Pangasianodon gigas (Mekong giant catfish)
Lineage: Eukaryota; Metazoa; Chordata; Actinopteri; Siluriformes; Pangasiidae
Source: the annotation of a GenBank genome assembly
GCUAUACAAAUAAAAAUGAAUUGAAUUGAAUACAGUGUAGUGUAUGAAUAAAACACUGAAAGAUAGGUACUU